GUUAAAGAAAUGUGAGUUCUUCAUGUUUUUCACUCUUUCUCCUGCACAGAAAUCAGGAAUGCAUGGGAUGGAAUGAGAGGAGCUGCAGGUGGUACCAGCCCAGAUUGCUGAGUCACUACAUCAAAGGAGGAACCUGGGCAUUGCUCAACUUGAGUUAGUGUAUGUGGUAAACCUUUGUUACUGCAGCAUGACCUAAUCUGUCCUAAUUCACUCUCAUUUUCUACCAGCUAAAAGCUUCAUCUUUUAAGUCCCAGCUUAAAUGCUAACUCUUUCUUAAAAGCCUUCAGAACCAACCCAUCCCGAGUCAGAAUUAACGGCUCUCCCUUUGUGCUUUCAUAGCAUGUGUAAGUCAUGUCUGUUUGAUGCUUAAUGCAUAUUAUCAUGAUUGGUUAUGUACAUGCAGGGUUAGUGACACAGAAUGAUUAAGAGUGUGAAUUCCAGAGCCAGACUGACUGGGUUCAUAUCUCAGCUCUGUCACUUAGCAUUGGGACCUUCAAUGAGUUACUUAAUCUUCCAGGACCUUGGUACAUGUUUGUCCCCUCAGUACCCACUAGAGUACCUGAUAUGAUAAUUGUUACAUAGUACCUGUUUGCCAGUCUCUGUUUUGUCUCGCAGACAGAAGCACCAGUAAAAGACACGCAGAACCAGAAAUGGGAAUCAAAAUGCAAAGCCAGGAAAUCAGAGGCCUUCUACAACCUACCAGGUGGAGUAGCUCAUGGUCCAGGUGAGGUCUGCAAUAGGCUAUAGUUUUCUCCUACAAAUUAAUUCCUUCUGCUGGGACAGAACUCUAAAAGGGAGGAAGAUAUUAGAUCUACCGCUUCAAACCACUUUCCCUGAAGUCAUUGUUUUUAUGUAUGUAUCCAGAUGAUUUUAUGAUUUUGUUUUUUUCCACUAUUGUGAUAAAUUACUUUGAUUGAUUUUUAGAAUAUUAAAUCACCCUUGCAUUCCUGGAAUAAACUCUAUAGAUGGAAGCUUGGUUUUAUUUGCUAGAUUUUGCAUCUAUACUCACUAACAAAAAAAAUUUUUUUUCUCUUCUCCUGACACCACCCACCAGUUUUUGGAUCCUACAACACCAACUAGGCAUCCUAUAUUUCCAUCCAAUUUUGACACUAACUCCCCAGACUCAGCAUCAGUUCCAACAGAUUGAAGGGCUCAGUCCCACAAGACUGCCACCACUUCAGAUGCCAGUCACAAGUCCUGGACCACUUGUACUUCUGAGCAACGGGCGAUAAAUCAGGGAGUCCCAUGACUUCUUUUCAGGUUCGAUCAUUUGCUGGAACAACUCACAGGACUCAGGAAAGUGCUUUUCUUAAUGUUACUGGUUUAUCAUAAGAAUACAACUCAGAAAUAGCUGAAUUGAAGAGAUACAGAGGGCAAAGUAUGGGGGAAGGGGCACAGAGCUUCUGUGCCCUCUCUGGGUCCAUCGCCCUCCCAGCACCUUGAUAUGUUCACUAACCUGGAAACUUCCUGAGCCCCUUUAUUUAGGGGCUUUUAUGGAGGUGCCAUUACACAGCCAUGAAUAAUUAAAUCACAGCCAGUGGCGACUCACUCAGCCUCCAACCCUUCACCUUUCUCUCCUCCCUGGAGGUCGUGGAGGAGCCUGAAAACUCCAACUGUCUAAGCACGCCUAGGUUGUUCUGGUGACCCCCAUGUCCCAUCCUGAUGCUACCCAGAGGCCUCUCAUUAGCGUACAGAAGACACUCUUGUCUGUGAAGAUUCCAAGAGCUUGGGGAGUUCUUAGAACCAAGAGGAACUAAGGACAAAGACCAACUAUUUUUUUUUUGUUAUACCACAAUGAUUGAGACUGGUCUAUGAUUUUUUCCUUUGUGCAGUAUCCUAGUCCAGUUUCUUUCUUCUUUUUUUCCUAUAGAGGUUAUAUUGGCCAUAUAAAAAGAGUUGGGAAGGGUACAUGGAUUUUUCUGUUUUCUGGAAGAGUUUGUGCAAGAUUGUUAUUCUUUAAAUAUUUGAAAGAAUUAAUUGAUAAAGCCAUCAAGUUGUCAAAUAAUAGAUUCAAUUUAUUUAUUGCAUAUUGGAUAUUCUGAUUUUCUUUUCUUUUUCUAGUACAUUUUGGAAAGCUGCAUUUCUCAAUGAAUUUGUCCAUUUCAUUCAAACUGCCAAAACAAACAAACAAUAAAGUUUUUAUUUUUUGA
This 2150-nucleotide long non-coding RNA is filed under the name Marmota monax (woodchuck). The record is from RNAcentral. Lineage: Eukaryota; Metazoa; Chordata; Mammalia; Rodentia; Sciuridae.